RNAcentral lists this transfer RNA (56 nucleotides) under Otolemur garnettii (small-eared galago). It matches the Rfam family "tRNA", at positions 10 to 63 of the family's 71-position model. From Rfam's summary of the family: Transfer RNA (tRNA) molecules are approximately 80 nucleotides in length. The record is from Rfam by way of RNAcentral. Lineage: Eukaryota; Metazoa; Chordata; Mammalia; Primates; Galagidae.
GCUCAGUGGUUAGAGCAUUGGUUUUGCAAAUCAAGGGCUAUGAGUUUGAAUCUCAC